Molecule: long non-coding RNA, 921 nt
Filed under: Coturnix japonica (Japanese quail)
Lineage: Eukaryota; Metazoa; Chordata; Aves; Galliformes; Phasianidae
Description: lncRNA (ENSCJPG00005000672.1)
Source: RNAcentral
GGCAACCUUGACACAUUAGACAUCAUCUAUGUCCCUUUUUCACCUUAAGAAAAAAAUAGAAAGAAAGAAAAGGGAAAAAAGAAGAAAAUAUAGAAAGAGCAGAAGCUUUAAAAAGGUCAGGUCAAAGUUGGACUUUGUCUUUCCAGUGCAGUAAAACAUACUAUUUUCAGACAGCUCAUACUGUCAAGGUCCUUGCUAAUAACAGUUAUUCAAAACAGACCAAUAUACCCCUAACAACAAGUCCAUAAACAGAGAGCUAACUACAAGCAUCUGGACUCAGACUUUUGUAAUUCAUGCUGUUAUUAAUGUCCACUCAAAGAUCCCCACUGAGAUUUCUGGCAGAGUUAAGAAAAUCCCUGAAUCUCAUAAGCGAAUUGCAAAAUGGCAGCUGGUCUGGAGAUGAAAGGUAUGACUGCAAAAGAGAAUGCACUAAAAGGUAUGAUGCAAAAUUUUCAACUCAUGGUGGUACUCUAUGCAAAAGUGAUUAUUAAUAAGAAGAUUUGGAAGAAAUAUAAAAGACUGAAGAAAAUGUGAGGAUAUUGAAUCACUGAAAUUAGAAGAUUUUUUGCACUAAACUGGUGUACAGUUGAACUCAGAAGAGGAAACUGCAUGGAGCAGAAGAAAAAAAUGUGUAAUUAGUGCAUACUUACCGAACAAGCAGAAAUCCCAAAACAUGGAAAUGACCAAACAGAAGAUCAAGAAAUAGCACAAAUACAAAAUAUUUCAUAACAGGAAUUAUGUAACAAGAAACUCCCAUAGGAGUUUCUGUAUCCUAAUGAUACAUCAUAAUUUCUUGCCCAUAGCAAAAAACUUCAGUUUGCUAUAACCUCUCUCUACUAGUUAUCUGUUCUGUCAAACAAGACAUCUUCUUUGCCUUGACCGCUUCAUUGAGGCACUGGAAAAGCCUGUCCAAAAUUUACC